CACAGGCAGCCGGAUGCUCCUUAGACACCCCCCAUCCCCCCUUAAAAGCCACAUUACCCCUCAGAAGUCGAGACAAGCGCUUUGCAGGGCUACAGCGACGGCUGGAUCUACGUCACAAGCCGUUGGCACUGCAGGGACAAUCCCUCCAUAACUCUUCUGGUUACAAGUCUCCGUACCAGGUCCAGGAGAGUUUGCGAUUAUGUUCUUGACAUGACACGUAGCAGCCAUAGUAAAAUGCAAGCGAGACCCCGCGCGGCCCUGUUUCAGGGGGUUCCUGUUAAGGUCUUCAAAGGAAAGGGCAAAUGGCACGGGUGCCUUGGAGGAGCGGGGUAGCCCAGCCCCACGGAGGUAAUGCCGCAGCAGGGCUGGGAGUGGGGGGAAGAGAGACACGCCUUACCUCCCCCGUCUUCAUCCGCGAAAGAAAACCGGAGUGUGGGAAGGAACAGCUUGCACGCCAGGAUUUUAGAAGACCACACAAAGAAUUGAUGCUACAGGCCUGUUCUCCGCUUAAAACCAACACCGGCGUGUGGCUUGCGCAAACGCCCGCCUGCCUCGGGGAAAUGAGUCCGGGCACUCGGCCCAGAAUCCAUAUGACACCAACGACGAUAAAGGACACACGAAGACCACUUCCCCCCAUAAUGGCAUUUAUUAACGGGACAUUCUACCACUGCAAACAAUUUCUAAAGAGCCCCCCUCCCAAAACAAACCCCAAACGAAACCAGGACAGCCGCUUGCUACACCCUUCUUUGCACCCCCACACGGGGAAAGGUGUCCAAACCCAGCCUGGAAUUCAAAACAGCUUAAUCCCCAGCCCAUGCAGCUUCCCGAGGCAGGGGCUUGUAAAUCAUCAGUGUCCAGGAAGGAGCUCCAGGCGCUGCUGGUACCAUCCAGGAAGAUCAAAGGAAACCUCUUCAUACAGUAAGAAUUUCCUCAAGUUAAAAGCAGCAGGUAAAAGCCAAGGGAGGCCAAGGUGGCUAAUUUAGCCCAUCCUCCCAUCCCUUCUCUCACUCCGAUUCACAUGCCCCCUUGCAAACAAUCCUCUGCCCAUUCACUACAGGCCCCAGAUCAGUUCAGCCAGGGAUCUGCCACCACCUUAAAACUCAGUGGCGCCAACGGCUGAGCGAUUGCCUCUUGCGAGCCCCUGAGUAACUGCGGCAUCAGAACACAGGCGAACGUUUUGAAGCUAAGAGAGAGGGAAGUUCUCCCCAAAAUAAAUCAGAGCCGUGAGCACCA
This 1233-nucleotide long non-coding RNA is filed under the name Chrysemys picta bellii (western painted turtle). RNAcentral describes it as "lncRNA (ENSCPBG00000023956.1)". Lineage: Eukaryota; Metazoa; Chordata; Testudines; Emydidae. The record is from RNAcentral.